RNAcentral lists this ribosomal RNA (501 nucleotides) under uncultured bacterium. RNAcentral describes it as "bacterial SSU rRNA". It matches the Rfam family "Bacterial small subunit ribosomal RNA", at positions 29 to 524 of the family's 1533-position model. The record is from RNAcentral.
AUGAACGCUGGCGGCAGGCUUAACACAUGCAAGUCGAGCGGGGAGAUGUAGCUUGCUACAUUUCCUAGCGGCGGACGGGUGAGUAAUGCUUAGGAAUCUGCCUAUUAGUGGGGGACAACAUUCCGAAAGGAAUGCUAAUACCGCAUACGCCCUACGGGGGAAAGCAGGGGAUCUUCGGACCUUGCGCUAAUAGAUGAGCCUAAGUCAGAUUAGCUAGUUGGUGGGGUAAAGGCCUACCAAGGCGACGAUCUGUAGCGGGUCUGAGAGGAUGAUCCGCCACACUGGGACUGAGACACGGCCCAGACUCCUACGGGAGGCAGCAGUGGGGAAUAUUGGACAAUGGGCGAAAGCCUGAUCCAGCCAUGCCGCGUGUGUGGAGAAGGCCUUUUGGUUGUAAAGCACUUUAAGCGAGGAGGAGGCUACUUGGAUUAAUACUCUAGGAUAGUGGACGUUACUCGCAGAAUAAGCACCGGCUAACUCUGUGCCAGCAGCCGCGGUAAU